GCCAAACAUUGUCAAACUUCAUUGUGAUUGUAUCUUUGGAUGUGAUUGUUUUGUGGUUCACGGAGUCACUAAGAAGCUUUGAUAUCAUCUAUUUUGUGAAUAUUUAUGAUGUGCAGAAUUCAUGCAAAUAUUUCUGCCUACUGAAGUAUGAAGGAGUGUUAGCUUUUAGUUUCUAUUGGGCUUGAACAAAUUCCUUGCUUGUCCUGUUCCUUGGAAAGGAAAUUCUCUAUGAUCUUGUCUUUUGCAAGGUGGCUAGAAAAGACAAGAAUUUAUAAGAUGGUUGUGCACAAUGUUUGAAAUAUCGGUAAAGUACUUGGAUUUUACUGAUAUAUCAGAAAUAUAGAUGAAUAUUUUGACAAAAAUAUUUAUUAAAUAGAAAUGGUUCAAAAUUUAUGUAAA
This is a long non-coding RNA of Vitis vinifera (wine grape), 399 nucleotides long. RefSeq lists it as uncharacterized. Lineage: Eukaryota; Viridiplantae; Streptophyta; Magnoliopsida; Vitales; Vitaceae. The record is from RefSeq and is a predicted model, not a curated record. The transcript has 2 exons.